This 37-nucleotide ribosomal RNA is filed under the name Inga thibaudiana. Its description in RNAcentral is "partial 18S ribosomal RNA". Lineage: Eukaryota; Viridiplantae; Streptophyta; Magnoliopsida; Fabales; Fabaceae. The record is from RNAcentral. RNAcentral also lists the same sequence under 2 other names.
CAAAGAUUAAGCCAUGCAUGUGACUACUGGCAGGAUC